This 429-nucleotide ribosomal RNA is filed under the name Chloroflexota bacterium. Its description in RNAcentral is "Chloroflexi bacterium partial 16S ribosomal RNA". It matches the Rfam family "Bacterial small subunit ribosomal RNA", at positions 355 to 776 of the family's 1533-position model. The record is from RNAcentral. Lineage: Bacteria; Bacillati; Chloroflexota.
UGGGGAUUAUUGCACAAUGGGCGCAAGCCCGAUGCAGCCAUGCCGCGUGUAUGAAGAAGGCUUUCGGGUUGUAAAGUACUUUCAGCGGGGAGGAAGGGAGUAUAGUUAAUACCUUUGCUCAUUGACGUUACCCGCAGAAGAAGCACCGGCUAACUCCGUGCCAGCAGCCGCGGUAAUACGGAGGGAGCAAGCGUUAACCGGAAUUACUGGGCGUAAAGCGCACGCAGGCGGUUUGUUGAGUCAGAUGUGAAAUCCCCGGGCUCAACCAGGGAACUGCAUCUGAUACUGGCAAGCUUGAGUGUCGUAGAGGGGGGUAGAAUUCCAGGUGUAGCAGUGAAAUGCGUAGAGAUCUGGAGGAAUACCGGUGGCGACGGCGGCCCCCUGGACGAAGACUGACGCUCAGGUGCGAAAGCGUGGGGAGCAAACAGG